This is a non-coding RNA of Mus caroli (Ryukyu mouse), 1162 nucleotides long. The record is from RefSeq and is a predicted model, not a curated record. Lineage: Eukaryota; Metazoa; Chordata; Mammalia; Rodentia; Muridae.
GGCGCGCAGGCCUUCCGCCGCGUUGAUCUUUCGGUUGCUGGUGGCUGUGGGCCGCACGGUCUACGGUCGGGCUGGAAGACGCGCGCUGCAAUGGCGACCUUUGUGAGCGAGCUGGAGGCAGCCAAGAAGAACUUGAGCGAGGCGCUGGGGGACAACGUGAAACAAUACUGGGCCAACCUGAAGCUGUGGUUCAAGCAGAAGAUCAGCAAGGAGGAGUUCGACCUUGAAGCUCACAGGCUCCUCACACAGGACAAUGUCCAUUCUCACAAUGAUUUCCUCCUGGCCAUCCUCACACGUUGUCAGAUUUUGGUUUCUACACCAGAGGGUGCUGGAUCUUUGCCCUGGACAGGGGGCUCUGCAGCCAAGCCUGGAAAACCCAAGGGGAAGAAAAAGCUUUCUUCCGUUCGUCAAAAAUUUGAUCAUAGAUUCCAGCCUCAGAACCCCCUCUCUGGAGCUCAGCAGUUUGUGGCAAAGGAGCCCCAGGGUGAUGACGACUUGAAACUUUGUUCACACACCAUGAUGCUUCCCACUCGAGGUCAACUUGAAGGGAGAAUGAUCGUGACUGCCUAUGAGCACGGGCUGGACAAUGUCACUGAGGAGGCCGUCUCUGCUGUGGUCUAUGCGGUGGAGGUUGGUGGGCGUCUAGAAAUAACUACACAUAAUUGUGACGAGCUUGUGUGUGGAAAGCUGACUCUGACAGGAACUGGACGGCACUCUCUGUCAUCAUUGAAGGAGACACACUUCACACUGUAAAACUGCAGAAUUGCUUUUGAUUGACAGGUUUUCCAGACAGUUCCCCACAGUGCCCUUGGUUCUGCUUGCCUCUCGUGUGAGAAACUCUAGUGGCGCAGUGUGUAAGGUCGUGCUGCAUUUAAAGAGUGUCAGUGUGGACAUCUAAAUAGUUCCACCCACUGUUUGAGUCAUCCCCUCANUAAGUUAUUUGACAGAACAUACAUUGCACCAAUGCCAAGGCAGUACACAGACAAGUUUCUGGUGCACAUUUUCCUCAUAGACACUUGUAAGAUAAUAGUUGUCUUAAAUGAAUUCUGUGUGAAAACCCGUAUUAAGUUGCACAAGGGCAUGUUGAUAAGACAGAUUGGUCUGAGUAAGUGCCCAGCCUGACUCUGGAGCUCUGUGCUGACAUAUGAUAAGAGGGCUCUGC